Long non-coding RNA from Rattus norvegicus (Norway rat), 12401 nucleotides. RefSeq lists it as uncharacterized. The record is from RefSeq and is a predicted model, not a curated record. Lineage: Eukaryota; Metazoa; Chordata; Mammalia; Rodentia; Muridae.
GGGAGGUUCCUAGUAGGAAGAACCAAGGAAUUAUUGAGGGUAGGGCAAAGAAAUAGGAAAACCCAGAGGAGAGGAGAUGGCGACGUGGUGGGACCCUCGUGGGACGGCGCAUGAAAGAUAUUGUGAGAAGCCCAAGCCAUGAACUCAUGUUGUUCCAGCGGUGCUUCCUUUCAAGGUGCAAUGUGAACAGCCACCUCAAGCUCUGUCACCAUGUCUACCCCACCGUAAUGGACUGUACCCUUAAAUGUUGUGGGUUUCUGUAAUGGCCUCUGUCUGUGGUAAAAAGAAGCUUCUUUGAUGAGAGGAAUUAGAGGAAGGUUUGAGAGAGCUGAAGGAGCUUGCAACCCCAUAAGAACACCAAUUCCAACCAACCAGAGCUUCCAGGGACUAAACCACUACCAAAAGACUACACAUGGACUGACCCAGGGCUCCAACUGCAUGUCGCAGAGAAUAGCCUUGUUGGGGCACCAGUGGUAGGGGAAGCCCUUGGUCCUGCCAAGGUUGGACCCCCAGUGCAGAGGAAUGUCAGGGGAGUGGUAAGGGAGAGUUGAUGGGGGGAAUACCCAUAUGGGGGAGGGGGAGGGGAUGGAGGCUUAUGGACAUGAAACCGGGGAAGGGAAUAACAUUUGAAAUGUAAAUAAAGAAAUAUAUUUAAAAAAUAAAAAAAGAAAGAGAAGGAAUCUAAGUAAAUGGUAUUCUAUACUAAAGAUGGCUAGAGGCAGGACUUUGAAUCUGAGGUACAGAACCUGAAACUCAGAGCCAGGGAGAUUAAAAGUUGGGUGAAAGGACAAAUGCAAAUGAAUUCGAGUCAAUAUCAGCACCAACUGGGAUGAGAAGUUGGUCCUGAGGGAAAGAAUGUGAGAAUGAGAGUAUUCUUAGAAAGGUUGUGAGUUGGUUUAUGGAUAAUUAUUAGAAUACUGGCUAUUGUUUGCAGCUUGGGUUUUUUUUUUAAAAUAAGUCAGACAAUGUCAUUCUUAGACUCAAGAGGCAAGGGGAGAAGGAACACUACCCUUUUAUGGAUUAGGGGUACACUGCUGUUGGAUUUACCUAAGGGAAAAUUCUGACAUGUUCUGUGUUUUGUAGUGGCAGGAAAACUUCCACAAUGGCUCUUCUAAGUUAAUGCCUAUCCACUUUCACCAAGCAUUACAACUAAUUAUUAUAAGUAGGAGUCAAAUAAUUCUCUUCCUGUGUGUCUUCAUUCCUUAUAUAAAGUCUCCCAGGUAGAUAGAGUCAUAUAGGGUGACUUUGAUGAAAAUAUGGGAGAUACAUUAAAUUGUUUGAGUAAGAAGCAAUUGGAACUCAGAGGGCUAUCAUGGCCUUCAGUGGUCACAGACAUUUUUGGCACAGCUAUAAUAAUGUUGAUGUGUCUGAAAGAAAAGACAACAUAUCUCACUUAUCCCUCCACUGGGACUUCUCAGGAAACGGUUUUACAGAUCUUACUGACUGGACUAUAUGCACAUUUUUCUGAAUACUGUGGGUCCUUUCGGUAGGUACUAUAUGAUUCCUUACCAGUAUGGGGGAAUUGUUGAAAUGAAAGCCAUUAUUCUGAAUCACUGUUUGGGUAAAUAGUAUAGUGCAUUAAUGUAAACAAAAUCAGUGUGGUAAAGUAGAGCUAGCCAUUUUGUGUAAGGAGUUAUAAUACUGCAAAUGAGCUUCCAGAACUUAAAGUACACUUUUUGCUUUACUUGUUGGUUCAACCACAUGUAGGCAGAAUAUAGAGGACUCUGAAGAGUGCUUUUCAAAAACAGGGUUUUAAAUGUUAGUCAAUCUCAACUUCUUAUGUUGAUAGAAAUAGAAUGCUACUUUGAUGAAUAUUGAAUAUUGAGUGGCAGCACUAGUUGUGAAAGUCUACAGAAAAUGGGAUUGCCACAUGGUGGACAUAUACUCUGCCACUGAGCUACAUCCCUUGACCAAACCAGAUCAUCUUAAUGAGAGUUGUACUAUUCUUAUUAUAGUGGUAUUAGGAUUUAGGAAGGAGAAAAUCCAAUAAAAUGUUUCUUAUGAAGCCCAGUGAAAUAAAAUUUCAUAGAGAAUUUAGUGGUUUGGAUAUGGUGAAUAACACUGAGCCUUUCAUGACUGUCAUGAGACUAUCACUGCUGACAUAUGAUAUAUACUCAAUAUAUAUUUGCUGCGUGAUGAAUUUUGUGCUCACCUGCCACUUUCAGAGUUUUGACCAGUCUAUGGCAGUUGUUUAAGAUAGCAUGCCAGAGCCACAUUCCUGAAGUUCAAUUCUCUGUCCAGGACAUAGAAUACUCAUUACAUAAUGGGUUUAGCUGUCAGCGGCAAGGUGAAUAAGUAUCUUGUGUCAGAGAUUCCCCAAGAUGACCCAUAGGUUUGGUGAUUUGCUAGACUCACAGGACUCAGCAUAACAUUUUAUUGCUGGAUACAAGUUAUUGUAGUGGCUUAGUGAAGUUGGAUCUUAGGGGAAAUAAAACACAGCUAGAUCCUGGAGAACUCCCCAUACAGGCUUUGUGUGCUUCCUUCCCUUUAUGAAGGAUUAUGCAAAGUACACUUUCCUCCAGCAGUGAAAAUACAGCAACACAUGCGAAAUGUUUUCUACCAUGGAAGCCUAUUAGAAACUCAGCACCCCAGAUUUUUAUUAGUGACUAAUUACAUAAGUGCUCUGCCUGGUUCAUACCAAAAUGCCAAACUCCCAGACGGAAGGCAGGUGUUCAGCUUAAACCACAUUGCGUGUGCAGAUAGUCUAUGCACAGUGUGCUACUCUAAUCAGUUAACUGUUGACUGGGAGAAUUUCAAGAGCCAAGUUCUCAAGAUGUCAGCCAACUUUAUAAUGCCCUUCUAAGAACAAUCUCGGGCCUUGUGUAUUAACUCUUUAAUAUGCAGGAUUCUUCCUCUACCUUAGAACUAAGAUUGAGAAUAAGCUUGUUCCCAGGGCAGAUAAUCACCCAUGAUCAUAUUCUUGUUCCUUCCAAACAUUUAGGGGCCUGUUUUGAGUUCAAAAGAAGCAUCACAGUAUUUUAAAAAGAAAUCUAUCUCACUUGGCAUAUACUGAGAAUUUCUGAUAUCUUACUGUACCGUGGUUGUUAGACUUAUGAGAGUUAGGAACCCUUUAAGGCAAUGUAUCCAUGCCUUGAAAAUUAGUUUCUUUUUAUCACAUUGAAUAGUUGCCUUUAAUAAUGACCAGCCUUUUUGGGAGAAUUAGAGACAGAGUGCAUGUUAGAAAGGUAGCUGAUAUUCACACAUUGGCUAUUUUUAAAGGUAUUUUUUUAUUUUUUGAAAUUAUAAUAUAAUUGCUCAAUAACUCUAGGAUAAAGCAUUUUAUAGAAUCAAAUCAAAAGUGAGAGAUAUUUCUUUCUUUCUUUCUUUUUUUUUUUUGGUUCUUUUUUUCGGAGCUGGGGACCGAACCCAGGGCCUUGCGCUUCCUAGGCAAGCGCUCUAACACUGAGCUAAAUCCCCAACCCCGAGAGAUAUUUCGAUAUAUAAUACCCUUCUGAGUUGUGUAUAUGUGGAUGGAUACCAAGAUUAGACAUGAGGGGGAUAUGUCACGGUUUUCUGUGCUCUCACAUAAUAAUGUAGUUCCCAACUCAUUGUGUAAAUAGUGAAGUUCUAAUUUUAUUUGAAAGGAUAAUUUUAUUGUAAUGGCACAAAAAGAGAAUCAGGGACAGAGGAGGAGCUGGCUGGAGUAAGAGGUUGGAUUUGGGCAGGCCAAUACUAGAGAGUUUUCAGUUCUGUAUCUUACCUGCUCAGGACAGUGUAUGGCAUGGGCCUCAGGAAAGGAUGCUGAUAAAACUGUCAGCAGCCAGCAGCAGCUCCAGAAUUCUCAACUUCCUUGGUUAUUUUGAGGAAUUCUCUAUAUAUUUCUGAUUAAUUUUUUGAGACUUUCUGUGCAAUCACAUUGCUUAACAAACAGCCUAAGGACUAUUAUUUCGAGCUCUUAAAAUCAAAUUCUUCAAGGUUGAUGGAGAGGCAGUAGUUGAUGUAAUUGGCCUAAAAUCAAGAGUGUGAUUUACUUUUAACUUAAAUGUCAAUUAGAGCUUCUCUUCCAUUGGGAGUUUAGUUAAAUAUAGCUUGGCUCCUCAAUUUCACAACCUGUACAGUCCCCACAUCCUUUUUAUGCUUUCUUUGAGUGUUCAAUCACAUGUCUCUCUGCUACUGAGAGAAUGAAAAUAGAUGUUACUAGUUGUCAAAGGCUAAGACUAGGCAGAAGUAUAAGGAGGAAUGAGAGGGAUCACUAAUAUGCAUGGAGUUACUAGGAUAGGGACGGUAAAAAUGGUCUGAAAUUGAUUGUAGUGAUGGGUAAGCUACUCUGAAUUUACAAAAUAACAUUGAAAUGGAAAAAUUGUAUGGCAUUUGAAUCAAAUCCCUAUAAAACUGUUUCUUUUUAAGAAGUAAGAGUAUCUGAGUUUAUUAGGUUUUUUUUUUCAAUUUCCUGCCAGAAAAGCUGUGGCAGUUUGCCUUGCAACCAUCAGUGUAUGAGAGUGCCUAUUUCCACGGAGCAUCUGAAUGUGUUGUCAUCGUUUGUUUUGCUUUCUUUUUGCCAGUCUGAUAGCUGAGAAAUAGUGUCUCUGUGCAUUUUUUAACUGCAUUUUCAAAAUUCUGAGUGUGCUUCAACAUCUUUUCAUGCUCAAGGAUAGGCUUUUGUGGAUUAUUUAUUCAUAUCAUUCCCCAACUCUUCUACUGGUUUGGUUUGCUUUGCUCAGUUCUUAGGAGUUCUUUAUAUGUUAGGUAUAUCCGCCGUUGUCCGUUAGUGCCCAUGCUUCUCUGUGGGAUGUGAUUGAUUCUCGGCUCUGGCACUUUAUCCACUUACACACCAUUUUCCCUUUAUUAUUGGAGAUGGCUCAAAUGCUUAUCACAGACUUAUUGUGAAUGACAGAACUUGCCAUCACUGUGUCAUGUUUUUCCAUCCAUGCUCCUGAGGAGCUCCACCAGUACUAGGACUGAGGUCAGUAAAAUGAACUAUUCUAGUAGAUGUGGAAAGGCUUUGCUUUUAAGAACCUGCUAUGCAGUUUUCUUUACAUCUCCUCCAUCCCAAAGAGGCAAACCCAAUGUUACAAUCUUUCUGACCACCUCCAAUGCUAAAAAUGGGCAGAUCACCCUCUCUUCCAUAGUAAGACUUCAUGUUUUGAUAGUCACUCCUUAGAAGGCAGUGAAACUACUAUUGUGUUUCCUGGGCUGUAAGAAAGAAAAGCUAUAAGGCUUUUGUUUUGAUACAUUCUUAUCUGUUCUUGUCAAGUUCUUUCUGGCACCCUUAUUAAUUUUCCUUUUGGAAUGAACCUACAUUAUUAUUGUUUUUUGGCUGGCCUUUGACGGCUUGUAGCCGCCUUCUUUCUGACAGUUUGGAAGUUUCUUUAAAAACUAAACAUGCAAUUACUGUAUGCUGUGCUUUGAACCUGUCUCAAAAAUUCAUUUUGAAAUUUAAUUGUCAUUCUAACAGUGUUGAAAGGUAUGACCUUUAAGAGCUGAUUGGGCCAAGAGGCUCUGUUGUCGUCUAUGGAUUAAUGCCAUCAUCACAGGACUAGUUUAGUUAUUGAGGGAGUUAGUUUCUAAAAAGGGAGUGGGGGAUACGCACAGCCUGAUUUUUGCAUGUUUUUUUACAUGAUUUCUACUAUUCCAACAUGUUAGGAAACACGUUAGGAAGUACAAAGAUCUUUAUGAAAUUGAGUGCUAUGCUUUUUAAUGUCUCAGUCCCUAGAAUUAUGAGCCAAGUAAAUUUCUGUUCACUCUAAGUUAUCAGUGUUGUUUUUCUUUUAUAGUAGCAGAAAAUGGAUUAAGACACCAAAGGACACAGAAAUUGAAUUUUCGGACAUUCAUAUCAGAUAAAUGAAAAUGUAUGCCCAGCAUUAAAUUGUAUAUGAAAGUUCACUGUGAUUUUUUUCAUACUAACUAAAAAGUAACAAGAAUGUAGAAACCCUUCAAAAAUUAGUGGCUAAACAAAUAUAAUGCAUACUAAUGCAUACAUACUAUAGAAUACUAUUUAAUGAUCAGUAGGAAUGAAGUAUAGAUAUAAAUAAUUGAACAAUUCUCAAAGGCAUUAUGCUGCAUUUCUUUUAAGCCAGUCUCACAAUGUUGGAUUAUUUUAUUUGUAUAAUCUUCUUAAAAAGACAAAAAUAGGGGUUGAAGAGAUGGCUUAAUGAUUAAGAGCUCAUAAUGCUCUUCAAGAGGACCUGAGUUCAGUUCCCAGUACCCAUAUCAGAUGGCUCACAACCACCUGUAACCCUUGCUCUUGGAGAUCCAAUGUUCUUUUUUUUUUUUUUGGUUCUUUUUUUUUCCGGAGCUGGGGACCGAACCCAGGGCCUUGCGCUUCCUAGGCAAGCGCUCUACCACUGAGCUAAAUCCCCAACCCCGAGAUCCAAUGUUCUUUCUGGACCCAGAGGGUAUCCACAUAUAUACACCUCCCCACCCACAUAUAUACAUAAUUUUAAAAUAAUAAGUAACUUUUUAUAAUAUUUUAAUUUAUAUUAUAAAAAGCUUGAAAGAUAGCAAGCAACUAGAAGUGAGCCAAAAGACUAAGGACUGGCAGUGUUUAGUGUAGCCUGGACAUUUUUAGACAUUAUUAUCAAACUUGCAGGAAUUACACACUGAUUUGAUUGAUAGAGAAAAUACUUCACUGGUAAGAUUUUUAUUUGAAAGGACUGACCCUUCUGGCCUGUGUUGUAGAUCACAUAAAAAUGUAGCACAGUAGGGCUUUUGUUAGUAAAUUCUAUCUUGUAUCAGAAUGGAAGUUCUGCAAUGCAGGCCCUGAGACUGAAUGACAGAACUAGCCAUGUCAGUCUUCAGAGCUGUAACCACCUGAAAAUUCUGCUAAUACUGGUUAUGUGCCAUAUUCCCAUAAUAAUAAUAAUAAUUGGUACAUACGGACGGCAUACCAUAUGCUAGGCUCCAUUUUAAUGUGCUUUGUGUGUAGUUUGUGUAAUGUUAAAAAACUCUCAGAGAUACAAAAAUACAAAAACUAAGACAUUGAUUUGCUUACAUUCACACAGAAAGUAACUAUCUGGGCCAGCAUUCGAACCUUAGGCAGCAAACUCCAUGGCCCAAGCUCAUGAAUGUUCUGUUGUGUAACCUCUUAAGAAAUCAUGGCUCGGGGGAGGGGCUAGGGGGAUGUUGGCCGAAGGGGAAUAACAAUCGAAAUGUAAAUAAGAAAUACUCAAAUUAAUAAAGAUUUUAAAAAAGAAAUUAUGGCUCUUUGAAAGCAGGUAAGUCAAAAGAAACAUCUCCUAGUAUAUUUCUCUGGCUUGACCAUUUCUACUCAAUUGUUUCUCUUUUCUGUCUUUACCUGCGGCUGUAAUUAUUGUUACUUUUAAUCCUGUUUGCCUAAGGUUAAAUGCUAUCUUGCUACUGACUCCUUUACAGUCAAUUGGAAGCAAUUAUCUUCCUAGUAGAAGUCUUCCUGUGUCAUUACAAGUAGAUUGUAUAACGCUUUUGGUAACUCUUUCUUAGUUUUUCUUUAUAUGGAACUCUAUGGUUAUGUAUUUCAGAGAUAGAAACUAAGCAGGACUGAUGGAUUUCAGAUUUUCGUUCCACUUGGGUUAGUUUAUAGGUGUGAGGAGAGAGGAGAUAUGGUUAAGACCCAGGCAUAUACCAGGAAUCUAGGAGGAAAUAGAUAGUUUUGCUGAAUGAAGAAUAUGCCUAUUAAUAGUAGACCAGAAAAAUUACAGCCAAGAAACUAAAUCCUACCUCAUUGCCAAUUUUAUAAAAUUUCAAGAGGCACAGCCAUACAUGUUAAUUUACUUAUUGCCUCCAGAUGCUUUUGUUUUAUGACAAGAGUUAGAUAGCUAUGAUAGAGACUAAAUGGCCUACAAAUUUGUGGUAUUUUCUCUUUGAGCACUUUACAGAAAUAUUUUACCAAUGCUUAGUACAUGAAAUGGAAUAUUUUACAUGACUGGAAGUUGCCGUACAUGUAAAUGCACAGUUUGAAACUGUCUUGUUUUACACAGAGACAUGUAAAAGCACUAAGAAGAAUCUAGAUGUUUGUGCCAUAGAGGAAGGUAUCAAAAUGAUAUAAUAGAGGACUCAGUACAAAUAAACAAAAGAGCCUGGCUUUCAGAGACAGCAAUAGAGAUAGGUUAUCAAGGGGUGGCCGGGGAGUUUGUUUCCCUGUCCAUCUUAAAGAGAAAGCAUUUCCAUUUUAAACAACUAAGAGGAUAGAGGAGCUCAACUCUGUUUCAGAUACAUUCAGUACAUUUAAUUGCGAUAUUCUUCAUGAGAUCAAAAUAAAGAAAAAGACAGAGGGAGGAUGGGUAUGGUAAGUAGAGAUUAUUCAGUCAGAGGAUAAGAUAGAGGAGUACAUUCUAAUUUAUGGCUUCUAUGGGAGACUUUAGGGAGAGGUAAAUAGUGAGCAUGAUUUGAAUGUAGGAGACCAUGGCUUUAAGCUAGACACUUGAGCUUGAAAGUUUUAAAGCUAAGCUUCUUGGGUAUAAAUCAAGCUCCACCACCUAAAUAUUUAGAAACAUUAUUUCUCUCAGCUUCAAUUCCAUCAUAUGUAAAAUGGAGAUAUAAUAAAAAUUUGUUAUAGUUAAAUGUGUUAAUUAUGUAAAGGCCGUAGAAUAGUGUGUGGGAGUUAGUAAUGAAUCUAUACAGAGAAAUGCUAGGAAACUAGGUGAACUUAUCUAUAAAUAGUUGCUGUAGGUAUAUUGAAGAUGGAAACUAGAGUUUCAGAGUCUGCUGUAGCUGGAACACAUAUGGGAGAGACCUCUUCUGUGCUAAAAAAUAGAUGGAGAGUUAGACUUUGGUGAUCCUUGUCUGUUUACUUAAGACUUAGUUUUUUAAAGUUUAUGUUAGAAGUUGAACAAGUAAUAAUUUUCUCCAAAGCCCAGAAGAUUGCCUGGCUUAGCAUACACUACAAAUGUAUUCAUUAAAUAAAUUUAUUAAAUGAAUGAAUGAUAUUUGGAAUAGUGGAAUGUUAUCGAGUUUAUAUUUACAUACUAGACAGGUGGUGCUCUGGAGAUGAUGAAACCUUGAUGAUGAACUGGGGAAGGGGUGACUGUGGUGUGUCAGUCACUUGGGACAAUAUCAGAAGUUUAGAUGAGGCAUGAGCGAGGAUAACGUUGGGAAUAUGGAACCUGGGAAUAAAGGUCUAUUCUAGAAACUUUCAGUAUGUCUUGCUCUGGGUUUCAUAGUGUAUAACUACUGCUGAUCCCCAGAACAAUGAGGAUCUUUAAACAAAAAGCCAAAGACCAAUUGAGCAAAUGUGGUAUCUGGUACACAUAAUCAGAAAUGGACCUAAGCUUUCUUAGAGAAGGUUACUGGCAUCAAGGUGUUAUUUAAUGUGUUAAAGGUUACUUUAGCAGGUGAGUCUGUGACCACAGUGAUAGCAUAUUGAACUUACAGAGUCCUCUUUGGACGGAUUGGUGCAGUCCAGGGAGUUUUCUCUUCUCAGUAAGAAGGAGUUGCCAAAGCCAUCCUUAAGACAGAGAGCUUAGAAAAUGGACUGUACUCUCCAUUACAGACAUUUCAAAUAGAAAGAAGUGGGAGAGAAGUUGGCAAGAUUUUCACAUAGAAGCAACAGAGGUAGCAGCCACAGGAUGCCAUUGAAAAAUGCAGAGUUCAUGGUUUGGUAGCCCCUUGGUGAACUCCGCACUCAUGAAAUAUGGCCAGAAGAAUACAAGGAGACUGCAUCAUAACUGUACAGUAUGCAUCAAGGCAGGAACUAGGCAGGUGCCAGAGUCUACAGGAAAUAUGAAUACAGUUUCCAAUCUACUUAAGAGAAGGCUCACCCAGGGGCAAGUUCAGCAUUAACAACCAGACUUCUGAAGGACUUCACAGAGUCACACACUUCAACACACUUAACUCAACCCAUGGAGGAUAUUCAUUGACAAGGCCAGUAUCUAUAGCCCAACUUGGCAAAAGAGGCUUGACAGGCAUGUGGGUGUCUGGGAAGAUUCUACUCAGUCUAUAAAUCACAUUGAACACUUAUCCCUUCACAGUUGUUCUUCCUUUGUUCUAUCCCCAAUGUCAACAUGUCCAGACAGCACAGCACUACUCUGUUGUUAUCUCCUCUCUCUCACUUGUUCUCUCUGUCCCCAUCUCCCCUUUCUUCUCUUUAUUUUUCUCUAGUCUGUUUCUCUUCCUUUUUAUAGGCUUUCCCAAAGAAUAUGGGUUGGCUUGAUUUGUGAAAGUUCUAUGUCUGUGCCUCCCGAGAACUGGAACUAUUCUCAUUAUCUUAUUGGGUUCCUUUGCCUCUCUCUUUUCAUGCUGCUCUUAGUCCGAUGUAUAUCUCCAUAUCUUGCCCCCAUUAGCCCACCCUUCUAAUUACUUUUCCUCUCCUACAUUUUAUUUAUCAACCCAAUACCACUCAUUCAUCUUACCCUACGUUUUUUUCUUUCUAGUCAUAGACACAGUAAGCAGUAAUGUGAUAGCUUGAGAAACCCCAUGUAACCAUGGCCUCCAUCUUGGUACGCACUAGCCAUUUAGUCUUUGAUUCUCCUCCCUGGAAGAUAAGUUACCAGUAUCCCCAACUCAAUGAUCCCCUUCCAUAAAUUUACAGCCGUAAUCAUCUACUUGUUAUAAUAUGAGAAUAACUGCUUUUUUGCUUCUGUAUCAUGCUUAUGCAGAUAGUCAACAACUAUUUUGAAGACAUCGUGACUACCUAAUCUUGGCAGAUCAGGACUCAGAUCAGAAAGAUUUGGUUUUCUUGGGCAGAUACUCAAGGGCUUCUUGUGGUUUUCAGCUUUAUAAAUCCUUCUCUCACCCCCACCCUUAGCCUGGCAAUCUCAAAUUUAUUGUUGGGCCAGAGAUUGUUACCCUGCUAGCAGUUUUAAUAAAUUUAACUAAUUACUAUGAGGAGUAAGUCUGUGGCCUUUUCCCAAGGAUCACAAACGCCAUAAUAUCUGGAAGCCCCAACAAGAUCCUCGAGAGACCUCAGAGUAUGGACCAGGGUUCUGGGGUGGGCUCCAUGUAUGAGCAAUUCAAGGUGGACUUGAUAGACUCUAGUGACCCCAAGAUCACAUCUGCUACAAAUUAAUGUUCAGUAGUCAGGGAUAAACUCCAAGAGGGAUCAUGUCCAAGAUUGUCUUGACAGGCUCUAGGGAGCCCAGACUUUUACCUCCCCAAAUUUUUAAAUUGAAAGCAAAAAAAAAAAAAAAACGACUAAGGAUUGCUGGCCAACAUGCUUCUGAAACUCAGACAAGUAAGGAGUCAAUUCUGUUUUGCUUUAGGGUCUGGACACUUGGAGAGACUAAGGGGAGAUUGGAUACAGCCAUUGAUCUAGUAAUUGGGGCGGAGGAGACAUUCUAUUGCUCUACUGGUCUUAGUGUAUGAAUGAAGGCAGUCAUCACAUGUCAAGUUUGUCUGGUCUUUCUUGAUUGCAUUGUUUUAUUGUCUUUUUACAUUGUUAUCUUUGUCUGUUGGAUUUGUGUUUUCAAUUUUGUUGCAAAAAAUGGAAGUUGGACUGAGCAUAGCUGAAAUUGCCCCAAAGCUGCAUAGCACAAUAUUUUCAGGAUUUCUAAGAGGCAAACUGCCCCUGGCUGCUUUCAUGCCAGCUCCUCCCUAGGGCUUGUCUCUGUUCCUGUCGUUGGCUUGCUGAAACCCGAUAUUUAAGUCUUGCAGCUACAAAAGAUACUUCUCUAAACCUUCUUAUUUGUGAAUCUUGUCCUACGCUCUGCUUCUGAAGGAUGUUGUUUUCCUGCUUCUAUCUCCCAGCUGAUUCCUGUCUCUGACCAUGAAGCUCUGUCUGGCACCAAGCCCUGUACCACUGGGCUAGGGCAAUGCAAAUGCCCAUCCCAAUCUGAGUGUGCAGCCCUUCUGGACAACAUAAGCCCCCUAUCCACAGCCUGCUGCUCACUGAGCUGCUACAGCUGGUCUGCACUAAGAAUUUCUUAUCUCCAAGCCUUCUUUGUUCUCUGCUUGCUUUGGUCUCUUCCUCUGAUCACUGGAAUUAGUUUUGCAGGGAUUCAGAUGUCUUUUCAGCAUGGGUAAUAUUGAAGCAUCAUUUUGUUUUAUGUUGUUCUACUUCACUGAAGAGCUGGCUUUGGAGUUGAGUUAUGUCCCCCUCUCCUGACCCAAGCAGUUUUUAAAGGUUUCUCCAAAGUCAGACAGGCCUCCCGACUCUUAUAUGUAUGUAGAUUAGUCCCAAUAAGAAUUACUGCUGCUUAUCUCAUACUUUUCUUUCUUUUAUUUAACUCCCUAAGACACUUGCUAAAAUAUAAACCCACCUCAAGAUUUGUAAGACUAUUAUAUAAACUUUCUCUACUUUAAGCUUUAUAAAUGUGGUUAAAAAUGUGUAAAAAAACAACCUAAUGCCAACAUUUUCUGAGUUCCCAUAGAUACCUGAUUUUUAUAGUUUCUGUUUAAUGUUCUCCAGGUUAUAGAUACUUAUGUUAUUCUGCAACUUGAUGACUUUAUAAGAAAAAAACUUAUUAAGCUUUUCAGGUUGUCUGCUUCUAUCUGCAGAGACACAAAACUGGUUAUAAAAAUAAAACCUGACAUCUAAAAUUUCUCAAUAA